This 269-nucleotide ribosomal RNA is filed under the name uncultured bacterium. Its description in RNAcentral is "partial 16S ribosomal RNA". It matches the Rfam family "Bacterial small subunit ribosomal RNA", at positions 1223 to 1500 of the family's 1533-position model. The record is from RNAcentral.
UGUUACAAUGGCAGGUACAGAGGGAUGCUACCGGGCGACCGGAUGCGGAUCUCGAAAGCCUGUCCCAGUUCGGACUGGAGUCUGCAACCCGACUCCACGAAGUUGGAUUCGCUAGUAAUCGCGCAUCAGCCAUGGCGCGGUGAAUACGUUCCCGGGCCUUGUACACACCGCCCGUCAAGCCAUGGGAGCCGGGGGCGCCUGAAGUCCGGGACCGCGAGGACCGGCCUAGGGCGAAACUGGUAACUGGGGCUAAGUCGUAACAAGGUAAC